AAUUCUCAACCUUCCAUGUUUUAUUAGCAUGGUUAGGCUUGGAUGUGGGGGUUGCGGGCUUCAUCAAUGAUGUCGGCUCUCCUUAAAUGCAUUAGCGGAACUUUUGUGGACCGUCUAUUGGUGUGAUAGUUAUCUACGCCGUGGAUGUGAUGCAGCUUUAUGAAGUUCAGCUUCUAACCGUCCAUUGACUUGGACAAUUUUGACA
Molecule: unclassified non-coding RNA, 205 nt
Filed under: uncultured Agaricales
Lineage: Eukaryota; Fungi; Basidiomycota; Agaricomycetes; Agaricales
Also listed under: 1 other name
Description: sequence contains ITS2
Source: RNAcentral